UACGUAGGGUGCGAGCGUUGUCCGGAAUUAUUGGGCGUAAAGAGCUCGUAGGCGGUCUGUCGCGUCGGUCGUGAAAACCCGCGGCUUAACUGCGGGCUUGCGGUCGAUACGGGCGGGCUAGAGUUCGGUAGGGGAGACUGGAAUUCCUGGUGUAGCGGUGAAAUGCGCAGAUAUCAGGAGGAACACCGGUGGCGAAGGCGGGUCUCUGGGCCGAUACUGACGCUGAGGAGCGAAAGCGUGGGGAGCGAACAGG
Molecule: ribosomal RNA, 253 nt
Filed under: uncultured bacterium
Lineage: Bacteria
Description: partial 16S ribosomal RNA
Rfam family: Bacterial small subunit ribosomal RNA
Source: RNAcentral